UACGUGGCACAUGCACCUGCACCCACCACCACCAUCCACCAUCGUUACCCAUUCACCUCUGGCACCGCAUACACCCGCCACUCGUAGCUUUUCUCUCCCUUUCGAUCCCGCCCCUCCCAUCUUGCCCAGCACUGUUCCUCUGCGGCUCCCCGAGUCUUCUCACGCACUUUUCCUCCCACGAUCGCUUACUUCAGAAUCUUCGCUACACCAUGUCCACCAAGUACCUCGCCGCGUACGCUCUGGCCUCCCUGAGCAAGGCGUCCCCGUCUCAGGCGGACGUGGAGGCCAUCUGCAAGGCCGUCCAGGUCGACGUCGACCAGGCCACCCUCGCCUUUGUGAUGGAGAGCGUUACGGGACGCGACGUGGCCGCCCUGAUCGCGGAGGGCGCCGCGAAGAUGAGCGCGAUGCCGGCGGCCAGCUCUGGUGCCGCUGCUGGCGUCGCUGCUUCCGCUGCGGGUGAUGCGGCCCCGGCUGCCGCCGCCACGAAGAAGGACGAGCCCGAGGAGGAGGCCGACGACGACAUGGGCUUCGGUCUGUUCGACUAACCUCAUCGACGCGUUGCGAGCUGUGCAUGUAAGGGUGGGUGCGGGGGGCUUGCUGUUUCGGUAAAGUUUCUUCUUGCGUGACCUCGCGUGCGUCCAGUCGCUCCCUCGCGGCAUGACAGAAGCACACGAAACGGGCAUGCGCGGCUCCGUGACCGAAGAGGGGGGCGGCCGUCUCUCUUUCUGCGGGCGUGUCACUCAUUUUUUUUGUCGUCUUAACUACACGGAAAACGCCACCGAGAUGGUGCUACGGUGUCUGUGUAGGGAGGCCAACAGGGAUGCGGAUGGCACGGAUGGUGCUCACAACAGCGGAGGCAGCCCUUCAAGGACGUGUUACGCGGCCCUCUCUGUCUCUCUCACAUGCAUCCACCACGCCCAAGCACGCGCGAAGUGAAAGCGAGCACUCGACAAGCAUAUGUGCGGCGGAUAGCGGAAUGGAGGAAGAGGAGGGCGGGUAGGCGCACGCACACGCACACACUGAAAGCUGUGAGAUGAGCGAGCGAUGCACGCGUUGAUGGGUCGAUCCCCCUUCUUCGUGCAGCCCUGUCGUCCAUGCGGGGAGGAGGAGGUGGCAGCGGCGAAGCGAAAAGGAUGAAAGCGAGAGAGAGACGUUAAUAGCCUCCGUGGGCGGGGGCGGGAAAGAGUGAUGAUGGUGCUGGCGGAAGGGCAUAGAACGGAUGGCGAGCAGUCGGCGCAUGCCUGUCUGUCUCUCUUGGCAGUGUGGCACCCGGUGGUGCGUCUCCCUCCCCCACUCUGGCCCCGCCCUUACCACAUAGCUGGCCUGCCAUGUGUGCACGCCUAUGCCUGUAUGCCUUUACACGAACCUUUCCUACUGUUUCUCAUACGCCCACAACUCUACCGAACGUCUUCCCCCCCUCCUGCACGCAUCCGUGUCAACCACACAACGCGCACACUAUAUAUAUAUAUAUGCAUGCCACCCAUCGCCGCUCGGGUGUCGACGUGGACUAAAG
Molecule: unclassified non-coding RNA, 1513 nt
Filed under: Leishmania donovani
Lineage: Eukaryota; Euglenozoa; Kinetoplastea; Trypanosomatida; Trypanosomatidae
Description: gene:LdHU3.15.1500(CDS-product:60S_acidic_ribosom al_protein_P2)
Source: RNAcentral